RNAcentral lists this small RNA (291 nucleotides) under Pongo abelii (Sumatran orangutan). Its description in RNAcentral is "processed transcript". Lineage: Eukaryota; Metazoa; Chordata; Mammalia; Primates; Hominidae. The record is from RNAcentral.
CAGGCUUCUUUGCUAAAGAAUGAUGAGACUAAGGCCCUCACUCCAGCUUCCUUGCAGAAGGAAUUAAACAAUUUGUUGAAAUUUAAUCCUGAUUUUGCUGAAGCGCAAGACUCCGUCUCAAAAACAACCCUAAAACCAAAAAACAAAUGUGUAGCUUGUGCAUUGAUUCACACCUGGGAAAGAAACUUACACGUACAGAAUUGAUUAUAAUGACAGAGUGGCUCCUUGAAGUAAUUGUAGGCUUAACUACAAUUUUUGCCAUGAAUUUAAGCUGGCAUUUUUUAGUUGAGC